Molecule: non-coding RNA, 97 nt
Organism: Mycena crocata
Lineage: Eukaryota; Fungi; Basidiomycota; Agaricomycetes; Agaricales; Mycenaceae
Source: the annotation of a GenBank genome assembly
GGCCACUUUGCCUAAUGGUUACGGCCUCCAUGGUCAAUUUUGCGGAUGCGUCAAAAUGUAUCAAUGGGUGGUGUGGGUUCGAAUCCCACAGUGGUCG